RNAcentral lists this ribosomal RNA (464 nucleotides) under uncultured bacterium. Its description in RNAcentral is "partial 16S ribosomal RNA". It matches the Rfam family "Bacterial small subunit ribosomal RNA", at positions 28 to 507 of the family's 1533-position model. The record is from RNAcentral.
GACGAACGCCGGCGGCGUGCUUAACACAUGCAAGUCGAACGGUAAGGCCCUUUCGGGGGUACACGAGUGGCGAACGGGUGAGUAACACGUGGGUGAUCUGCCCUGCACUUUGGGAUAAGCCUGGGAAACUGGGUCUAAUACCGGAUAGGACUACGCGAUGCAUGUCGUGUGGUGGAAAGCUUUUGCGGUGUGGGAUGGGCCCGCGGCCUAUCAGCUUGUUGGUGGGGUGAUGGCCUACCAAGGCGACGACGGGUAGCCGGCCUGAGAGGGUGUCCGGCCACACUGGGACUGAGAUACGGCCCAGACUCCUACGGGAGGCAGCAGUGGGGAAUAUUGCACAAUGGGCGCAAGCCUGAUGCAGCGACGCCGCGUGGGGGAUGACGGCCUUCGGGUUGUAAACCCCUUUCAGCACAGACGAAGCGUAAGUGACGGUAUGUGCAGAAGAAGCACCGGCCAACUACGUG